This is a long non-coding RNA of Styela clava, 260 nucleotides long. RefSeq lists it as uncharacterized. NCBI's taxonomy places the organism in Eukaryota, Metazoa, Chordata, Ascidiacea, Stolidobranchia, Styelidae. The record is from RefSeq and is a predicted model, not a curated record.
AACGUUUAACAGAAACCGACAAAGAUUCAAUUUUUCGCGGCGGGUGUGAGAACUGAAUUUCAACUUCUUUCAUGCAAGCUGACGUCAUCAUGGGCUAACGCAUGCUCGGAAGAUCUCAAAUAUAUCAUCAACUUCAAAAAGGUAAAGAAAAUUUCCUGAUGUUCGAGUGUUUAAGAAGACCAGCUAGGACAUCAAUCAACUAAGGUCCACUGAACGUAUCGGUUCGCUUGUCGUUUAUGUUCGUUAUACGAACACUUCUU